AAGAAACGGGGUGUCGGGUGGACAAUGAUUAACUAAUCUAUGGCUUUUAAUCGGAAACGAAUAUUUUUUCGCUUUCACAACCAUAGGAUUAAUCUGUUCAUUUUCCAUUCGCACAUUAUUUGUGUGCUUUUUAGACAUGGCUGAUCCUUCUAAACUACGGUUUAGGAGGAUUUUUU
RNAcentral lists this small RNA (176 nucleotides) under Metalysinibacillus jejuensis. RNAcentral's name for it is "Bacillus sRNA ncr1575". It matches the Rfam family "Bacillus sRNA ncr1575". The record is from RNAcentral. Lineage: Bacteria; Bacillati; Bacillota; Bacilli; Caryophanales; Caryophanaceae.